Molecule: ribosomal RNA, 451 nt
Filed under: uncultured bacterium
Lineage: Bacteria
Description: bacterial SSU rRNA
Rfam family: Bacterial small subunit ribosomal RNA
Source: RNAcentral
GUAGGGAAUCUUUGGCAAUGGGGGCAACCCUGACCGAGCAACGCCGCGUGAGUGAAGAAGGUUUUCGGAUCGUAAAGCUCUGUUGUAAGAGAAGAACGUGUGUGAGAGUGGAAAGUUCACACAGUGACGGUAACUUACCAGAAAGGGACGGCUAACUACGUGCCAGCAGCCGCGGUAAUACGUAGGUCCCGAGCGUUGUCCGGAUUUAUUGGGCGUAAAGCGAGCGCAGGCGGUUUAAUAAGUCUGAAGUUAAAGGCAGUGGCUUAACCAUUGUUCGCUUUGGAAACUGUUAAACUUGAGUGCAGAAGGGGAGAGUGGAAUUCCAUGUGUAGCGGUGAAAUGCGUAGAUAUAUGGAGGAACACCGGUGGCGAAAGCGGCUCUCUGAUCUGUAACUGACGCUGAGGCUCGAAAGCGUGGGGAGCAAACAGGAUUAGAUACCCUUGUAGUCCC